Molecule: ribosomal RNA, 253 nt
Filed under: uncultured bacterium
Lineage: Bacteria
Description: partial 16S ribosomal RNA
Rfam family: Bacterial small subunit ribosomal RNA
Source: RNAcentral
UACGUAGGGUGCAAGCGUUAAUCGGAAUUACUGGGCGUAAAGCGUGCGCAGGCGGUUUUGUAAGUUUGUCGUGAAAUCCCCGGGCUCAACCUGGGAAUUGCGAUGAAGACUGCAAGGCUAGAAUCUGGCAGAGGGGGGUAGAAUUCCACGUGUAGCAGUGAAAUGCGUAGAGAUGUGGAGGAACACCGAUGGCGAAGGCAGCCCCCUGGGUCAAGAAUGACGCUCAUGCACGAAAGCGUGGGGAGCAAACAGG